CGUGAGCAAUCUGCCUUGGAGUGGGGAAUAACGGCUGGAAACAGCCGCUAAUACCGCAUGAUACAGCUGGGAGGCAUCUCCCUGGCUGUCAAAGAUUUAUCGCUCUGAGAUGAGCUCGCGUCUGAUUAGCUAGUUGGCGGGGUAACGGCCCACCAAGGCGACGAUCAGUAGCCGGACUGAGAGGUUGGCCGGCCACAUUGGGACUGAGACACGGCCCAGACUCCUACGGGAGGCAGCAG
This 239-nucleotide ribosomal RNA is filed under the name uncultured bacterium. Its description in RNAcentral is "partial 16S ribosomal RNA". It matches the Rfam family "Bacterial small subunit ribosomal RNA", at positions 116 to 354 of the family's 1533-position model. The record is from RNAcentral.